This is a non-coding RNA of Otolemur garnettii (small-eared galago), 87 nucleotides long. NCBI's taxonomy places the organism in Eukaryota, Metazoa, Chordata, Mammalia, Primates, Galagidae. The record is from Rfam.
UGUCAUGGUAAUGGCUGACCAGGACUCCCUUACCUACACACGCCUCUGCUUAUAGGGGUGACGGCCAGUCCUGGUGUCAGGGUGAUU